RNAcentral lists this small nuclear RNA (129 nucleotides) under Neogale vison (American mink). RNAcentral describes it as "Neovison vison (American mink) U4 spliceosomal RNA (ENSNVIG00000008946.1)". The stretch from base 1 to 75 matches the Rfam family "U4 spliceosomal RNA". Rfam says of the family: U4 small nuclear RNA (U4 snRNA) is a component of the major U2-dependent spliceosome. The record is from RNAcentral. Lineage: Eukaryota; Metazoa; Chordata; Mammalia; Carnivora; Mustelidae.
AGCUUUGCGCAGUGGCAGUAUCGUAGCCAGUGAGGUUUAUCCGAGGCGCAAUUAUUGCUAAUUGAACUUUUACAUGGGUAACCCUGUUAAUGCAGUCAUCAGUCAAGCAUUCUGACUGCCCAGCUUGGA